GGCCUCGUAGCUCAGCUGGUAGAGCAUGCGCGUACAAAGCGUAGGGAGGUGUCCAUGCAUGGGUUCGAAUCCCACCGAGACUA
RNAcentral lists this transfer RNA (83 nucleotides) under Echinostoma caproni. It matches the Rfam family "tRNA". From Rfam's summary of the family: Transfer RNA (tRNA) molecules are approximately 80 nucleotides in length. Their secondary structure includes four short double-helical elements and three loops (D, anti-codon, and T loops). Further hydrogen bonds mediate the characteristic L-shaped molecular structure. tRNAs have two regions of fundamental functional importance: the anti-codon, which is responsible for specific mRNA codon recognition, and the 3' end, to which the tRNAs corresponding amino acid is attached (by aminoacyl-tRNA synthetases). tRNAs cope with the degeneracy of the genetic code in two manners: having more than one tRNA (with a specific anti-codon) for a particular amino acid; and 'wobble' base-pairing, i.e. permitting non-standard base-pairing at the 3rd anti-codon position. Lineage: Eukaryota; Metazoa; Platyhelminthes; Trematoda; Plagiorchiida; Echinostomatidae. The record is from Rfam by way of RNAcentral.